GCGCCCGUAGCUCAGCUGGAUAGAGUAUCGGACUUCGAAUCCGCAGGUCGCACGUUCGAAUCGUGUCAGGCGCA
RNAcentral lists this transfer RNA (74 nucleotides) under Treponema sp. CETP13. RNAcentral describes it as "tRNA-Arg". It matches the Rfam family "tRNA". From Rfam's summary of the family: Transfer RNA (tRNA) molecules are approximately 80 nucleotides in length. Their secondary structure includes four short double-helical elements and three loops (D, anti-codon, and T loops). Further hydrogen bonds mediate the characteristic L-shaped molecular structure. tRNAs have two regions of fundamental functional importance: the anti-codon, which is responsible for specific mRNA codon recognition, and the 3' end, to which the tRNAs corresponding amino acid is attached (by aminoacyl-tRNA synthetases). tRNAs cope with the degeneracy of the genetic code in two manners: having more than one tRNA (with a specific anti-codon) for a particular amino acid; and 'wobble' base-pairing, i.e. permitting non-standard base-pairing at the 3rd anti-codon position. The record is from RNAcentral. Lineage: Bacteria; Pseudomonadati; Spirochaetota; Spirochaetia; Treponematales; Treponemataceae.